CUAAACUCAUGGCACUGACCUGGGAUGGCUUCCCUCUGCACUACUCAGAGCGUCAUGGCUGGGGCUACCUGGUGCCUGGGCGGCGGGACAACCUGGCCAAGCUGCCGACAGGUACCACCCUGGAGUCAGCUGGGGUGGUCUGCCCCUACAGAGCCAUCGAGUCCCUGUACAGGAAGCACUGUCUCGAACAGGGGAAGCAGCAGCUGAUGCCCCAGGAGGCCGGCCUGGCCGAGGAGUUCCUGCUCACUGACAAUAGUGCCAUAUGGCAAACGGUAGAAGAACUGGAUUACUUAGAAGUGGAGGCUGAGGCCAAGAUGGAGAACUUGCGAGCUGCAGUGCCAGGUCAACCCCUAGCUCUGACUGCCCGUGGUGGCCCCAAGGACACCCAGCCCAGCUAUCACCAUGGCAAUGGACCUUACAACGACGUGGACAUCCCUGGCUGCUGGUUUUUCAAGCUGCCUCACAAGCUCUCAGAUGGUGGUGUGGCUGCCCAGGUCAGCUCUGCCCCGUGCUGUGAUCAGGUAUGGUCUGCUGAGUGGUUGUAGGGAUAGGAGAACUGAGGUGAGGUGGUAGGUCCUAAGGCCAAAGCAACCUGCUAAGACUCAUUUCCUUCCCCUGCACCCCACCAGGCACCCCGACUAUGAUGAGGAAGGCCUCUAUGGGGCCAUCCUGCCCCAAGUGGUGACUGCCGGCACCAUUACUCGCCGG
This 708-nucleotide small RNA is filed under the name Pan troglodytes (chimpanzee). RNAcentral describes it as "retained intron". Lineage: Eukaryota; Metazoa; Chordata; Mammalia; Primates; Hominidae. The record is from RNAcentral.